This 68-nucleotide transfer RNA is filed under the name Marmota monax (woodchuck). Its description in RNAcentral is "tRNA.Ala". Lineage: Eukaryota; Metazoa; Chordata; Mammalia; Rodentia; Sciuridae. The record is from RNAcentral.
GGAUUGUGGCUUAGUGGUAGAGCACUCGCCUAGCAUGGAUGAGGCACUGGGUUCAAUCCUCAGCACCA